GUUCCUUCGGGAGCGAGUACACUGGCGAACGGGUGAGUAACGCGUAGGUAACCUGCCCUUAAGUUCGGGAUAACCCACCGAAAGGUGGACUAAUACCGGAUAAUAUCCCGCCUCAUAGGAGGUCGGGAUCAAAGAUGGCUUCGGCUAUUACUUAUGGAUGGGCCUGCGUCUGAUUAGUUUGUUGGUGAGGUAAUGGCUCACCAAGACAGUGAUCAGUAGCUGGUCUGAGAGGGCGAUCAGCCACAUUGGGACUGAGAUACGGCCCAGACUCCUACGGGAGGCAGCAGUGGGGAAUUUUGCGCAAUGAGCGAAAGCUUGACGCAGCAACGCCGCGUGAUCGAAGAAGCUCUGCGGAGUGUAAAGAUCUGUCAUAGGGGAAGAAAAAUUCCGUUAUUAACACCAUCGGAACGUGACGGUACCCUAUAAGAAAGCCCCGGCUAACUUCGUGCCAGCAGCCGCGGUAAUACGAGGGGGGCAAGCGUUGUCCGGAUUUAUUGGGCGUAAAGAGUUCGUAGGCGGGUUAGUCAGUCGAAAUUGAAAUCCCACGGCUUAACCGUGGACCCGGUUUCGAUACUGCUAAUCUUGAGUGAUACAGAGGUAAGCGGAAUUCCUGGUGUAGCGGUGAAAUGCGUAGAUAUCAGGAGGAACACCGAAGGCGAAGGCAGCUUACUGGGUAUAUACUGACGCUGAGGAACGAAAGCGUGGGGAGCAAACAGGAUUA
Molecule: ribosomal RNA, 721 nt
Filed under: uncultured bacterium
Lineage: Bacteria
Description: bacterial SSU rRNA
Rfam family: Bacterial small subunit ribosomal RNA
Source: RNAcentral